GUGAGGAAACUAGCAAUCGGUUCUUCGUUAUAUUAAGGUUGAUUAUUUCAGCUCUUCCCACUGAAAAAAGAUAGAACAUAUCCCUGGUCCUCAGAAAUUAAGUCUAGUUGGAGAGCUUUCCAAUUAAUGGCAGCGAUGGGCUGACUGUACAUGGGCUCAGUCCCGCAGUCCUGAUUUUUCAGUAUUAAAAUAGAAUAAGCUCAUUACAAGGCAAACCCACGUUUAAUGUUUUAUGUAAGUGCUAAAUAUCAAUCUUUUUGGAGACAGUUCUAAAAACAUUAAAGCACCGUGUAAAAUAAUUUUUUUUUUUUAACAGGUAGCAUCUAGCACUCCUGAGCAUCAUCCAUUUGAGCUUGGAAGACACCUCUUUUCCAUUCUCCAUACUGAUCACAAAACCAUCCCAAGGUUCAGGCAGUGAAACCAGAUGGAGGCAAGCCGAGAUUUUGAUAGUUCAGCCCCAUAACCUUCCUAUCCUUUUAUCUCAAGAAAAAAUGCUGACUUCCUCCACCCUGUCCACCUCCAAGAGGACCCAUUUAUUUUUAGAGACAGGAGGUGGGGGAAGCAGCCAGAGAGGGGGUGCUCUGACGUCAAACCCCGUCGUCGCUGCACUCCAGACCUUCCUUCUCUGGGGUGGGAGUUGGGGGGCAGCUGUUAGAGAAGGAAGGGCCCUGGGUUCCGACGGGAAUAAGCAGGUCUGAGCCUAGGCAGCACCCUCGACCCUCACAUGACCGUCCUUUCUCAGCACAUUGGAUUCUUAAGGUCAACCUCCCAUCAUCCCUCUUGUGAAAAACGUGAGCCCUCUCUAGACACAGGGCCCGAACUCUGUGCAAAUGUCUGUCCAUCUUGGAAGCACAGCGGCGUUAGGCUUCCUUCUCGCUCCUGCUCUGGGAAGAGGCACAUUACAGUGGGGGCAUCCAAGACCCUUCCUGCAGCCACAACUCUUCUGCAGCGACUGCAGGCCUCAGUCACCAGCACUCUUAAUCUGGAGAUCCUGUUUUGCUACUGAAAUCUAGGGGCAGGGGUGGAGCGAGGUGCCCCGCCUGGGUUGUUCAUCGUGUUUCUUUUUUCCUCUGAACAGCUCCAACUUCCUCUUCGUCCGCUGUGAAAGGUCUCAGCCAGCCUCGCGCCAAAAGAAAUUGCUAAUCGGGAAGCAGCGCCACCUCGUGGGGGACAAGGACAGUGCACGCAAGCCGAUGCUAUUUCCCACUGACCUAAUUGAGAGAAAAUUGAGCGUAGGACAGAAAACAUUUGAGAUUGUAAUCCUGUGCCCAGAGCUUUCAAGAGUGCAGGCAGAUGGCCAUAAAGGCCAUCUGAGCAGUCUCCUCUUUGAGCCAUUGCGAUCUAAGUGUGUUAUAAACAUCUUAAACGCAUCAGUGGUACUUUGCACUUUUCUCUGUGGUCAUUGGUUAGCACAACUGUGAAGGGUACUGGGUCUUCCUUCUCCCUAUUGUACAUAGUAGGAAUUCAGGGUGCAGAGGGGAAAAGUGCCACAGACAUGCCAGUGAUGAAAGCCAGGCCCCAACCUUAGGCUAAUGCUUACCUCCCCCACUGCUUCCUGUCCCCAAGCACUUCUCAGCAGAAUGGAGGACAAUGACUUUUUAAAACCAUAUAAAGCAAUAGGGACUGAUGAUCUUGACAGCCAUGCGGCCCCUGGAUUCCUGAGACAGGACUGGGCUAGGUCCUCAGUCAGAACGUCCCUUUUCUGUGUCUCUGUUGAAGGGUUUGGCGACGUGGGGGGAAGGAACCUUCCCAGAGGUGGGAACCUCGGGGCUCUUAGAACCAGACUUUAAGCAUGUGCCUGUCUCAGAUAAACUCGAGGAGCAGCCGCUCUCACCUACUUGCAAGGUUAUAGAGAUACACGCAUGCAUGCCCCCUGCUGGGACACCGAGUUUUGCUGUGCACAGGUUUUUAUUACCCCCAGGUGUCUUGAUAAAUUGAGCCUUCAGUGAAUAUUUCAUUAGUUUUAAGACUUCGGAAAGUAAGAAAUAAAGUAGUAGGGCAAGCAGAACAGACACAUAACUGCAAUGUUUAAAGCUCUGACAUCUGCCUAAAGAUUGUCCCUCUACCAGCCACCACUACACAUAACACUCCAAAGGCCAAGAAUGACAGCCUUUGCCUUUAGGCAGGACCAGUGGUAGUCACACCCACACUAACAUGAAUGCCAAGAAUGCUGCCAGGUUGCCAGGAGUUACUUGGUGCGAAUUCUUGCUCGGGUAUCAGGGUUGGGUCAUGUUUGCAACAUGGUAACUCAGUUGCACAUUGGACACCGUCAUCAAAUGAGUUUGCAAAGGAGGUGGCAUCGAUCAGGGCUCUGUUCUCAGCACCUACCCACUGUACACACGACCUUUCUCAGGCUUCCUACAGAACGGGGACACCAUUCAUUUUGUAGGUUAGUGAUGGCUUAGAUUUGGCAAAAUACAUACUCGGUGUCGAGCGCAUAGCACGUGCCCAAUAAAUUCUUAUGGAAGCAAACACCUUAAUGCCCUUUACAGGCCAGACACUAUUAGCUUCUUUCAGCUUCACAACAGCCCGAGGAGGUCUGUACGCUGCCUUAUGUUACCGUGGAGGAAGUAAGUGUUCAAGGACGCAGAGCAAUUAAGGGACAGGGCUGGGAUCGGAACCCAAAGCUCUUAACCACGAGGGGGGCUCCACUUCUGCUUUGUGUCCAUGUUAGUGCUCAUGUCACAGAAUCUUCCAGGCAUGUGAGUGUGAUGGCACAGGCCCUGCACAGGGAUCAGGCAAGCUGCACUCCCAGGCAGGCUCUGCCUUACCCUGUCAUCGUGAGCAACUGGCCUUCCUCCACCUUUCUCCUUGUCCGAAAGCUGAGUGUUUGGUCAGGAAAAGGUGGUGGAAGUUGAACUCAACGGUCUUAAAAUUUGGUGGCUAGAAGCUUUUAACUUUAAAUGAUUUAUCAAGGUUUUCUAAUUCUUGACCUUUACACUUAUUUUAGGUUUAAUUGAUUUGAAGUCCUUACCGGGUGUGGUCAGGAACACAGAAGCUGAAGAGAGGUGAGACUGUUCCAGGCCCUGGGACAAGCCAGGAGGGAAGGCCUCAGGUUGGUCUAAACGUCACUAGAUGGCAGCAUAAGCAGCGUUCCAGCAAGCUGCCUCCUUAGCCUUGAUCCUAAAGUUUCUAGGUUCUUCUCUACUUGUGUUGGUCAGGUUGUCAUUGGUGGACCUUUUAGUCAAAGCAUGAAGCUCCUGGACAGUCUUGUGCUGAAGGACGGGGUGAGGCGUAGCCCACAGAGGGGCCACAUAGGGUCAGCAAACCACAACCACAGCUAAGAAUGGUUUUUACAUUUUUAAAUGGCUGAAAAAGAAACAAAGGACUGAUUUUUCAUGACAUGGGACAAUUAGGUGAAGUUCAAAUUUCAGUGUCUACCGAUGAAGCUCAUUGGGCCCCAGCCACUCCUGCAAGUGUCUGUAUAGUUCUGGCUGGUAUUUCCUGCAGCGGCGAAGUUGAGCAGUUACAACAGAGGCCAUAGCCCUGAAGCCUGAACCAUGCCCUGUCUGUCUUGCUGUGGGAAAAGCUGGCUGGCCCCUGAUGGAUAGCACCCUGAUCCAACCAGGGAUGCCCCGCCAGUCUCUCAGGUCCUAACGCUCUGAGUGCAGGAAUUUGCACUCUCCUUGGUGCUGUGUCCUUAGCUUAUUGAAAUAGCACCUGGUGGGCGUAGUGCGGGGCACCUCUAGCUGUCACAGUGUGGUGACCAGUACUGGGAUCACGGUGAGGAUGGAGGUGAGCUCUGCCUGUGGAGAACUGGGGGAGGAUCCUCAAAGAAGUGAUAGUCCUUAGGGAACAGGUGAGAGAGGGCGAAGGAAACAGCAUCGUCAAAGAAGCAUUUCAGAAAAAGCACCGCUAGGGAACGUGCAGACUAGGGGAGCAAGGCCAGGUUGGGAGGGGAUGGCCGGGGUGAGGACAGGGCAGUGCAAACCCUUCCUUAUUAACCUGGGAGGGAGGCAGGAGAAAUAGGUUUGAAAGAGGGAAGUGGGAGGUCCUUUGCUGGUGCUGAACUUGUGGAGCUCCAGUGACGUCAGUCGUCCAGUGUUUGUCUCCCGGCGUGGCUUCGCGCACCUGCAGCAGAUGCACCUGAAGGGCUAAAUUAAGAGCCCAGAUGCCUCGGCUCUCCCUCCACCAACGCAGACUACAGAAGGGAAGUUCCCAAAUUUUGUUGGUGGGGAGGGCAAAGCAGAGCCCUCUAAGGAGGUUGAGCAUGAGAAUUCUGAGAUACUGGAGAAGAUAAACAGUAUGCCCUGAAGACCCCCCCAAAAAGCGUCAAGAAUAAAGCGGUCACAAUUGCCAUGUGCAGCAGAGACAAGGAAUCGUGGAUGAUAAUCUGGUCACUGGUGACUCUAAGAUGGCCCUGACUAGGGGGCAUGGAGAGCAGGAGAGGGGCCUGGGAUCAGGGCGGAGGAAGAGGCCCAGAUAGACAGAAGGAUGUGGAAAUGGAGGUGGUGCUGCAGGCAGGGUAUAAAGGGAUGGGAAGAGGAGAGGGAACUGCUGCCUCUCCUUUCUGGGUGCCAGGCACUGGGCGGAGCCCCAGCAUCCCCGAGGUGCGGCCCAUCGGACAGCACCGGGGAAGGGUCCUUCUAACGAAGCAGGACCCUAGGUUGCAGGGUGGAGGUCUGAGGCUCCACAAAGAUUUGUGCUGUUUCCCCGCUCUGGCUCAUCAAGUGUCCUCUCGGGGGCGUCCUUUCCUCCUCUCUUGUCACUGACCCAACCAGCUCUGUUAUGUCACUUAUACAGGCCUGCCUGCUGUGUCCACUGUCGGAAGUCAGGCCACAGCGGCUCUGGCCAGGGCCCGGGGUGCUGCAGCCUCCCUCCUUCCCUCCCUCCCAGCCUUCACUUUCCUGGCUCUCGGUUCUGCCCCUGGCUUCCAGGGCACAGUUCCAGGUUAAGUCCCAGGAGACCCAAACCUUGCCCACAAGUCACUAGUCACUCCCAGCAGUCAAACGAGCUGAGGACAGCAGAGCGGCCGGGCCACCAGAAGAGCUGUCUUCAUGCAGCAGCGGUGGGACAGCACUGAACUUGGUGCAGGAGCAGCCGCUGAUGGAAACUGCCCCCAGGACAGCACGAUGAGGAUUUAUAGGAACACAUGUGACAAGCAGCAGUGCACGAGAGAGUUCCUGUUGCUCCACAUCCUCAAGGGCAUUUGGUGUUGUUGCCGUUUCGGAUUUUAGUCUUUCUGGAUGGAAAAGCAUCUCCUGGCCGUGGAGGGGAAGUUCAGCUCCACGGAGGGGCUCUUCCUGCGGGUCCCCAGGCUGGUCCUCCCGCCCCACCCUCUCCUGAUGAAUCGAUGCGACAGCCUAAGGCUUCAGAAUAGCUACAUAUCUUCUCUGGAGUUAGCAUGAAAAUGUGCACAUUUCUGGCUGUAUGGAAACGCAUGGCAGGGAGGAAGCAAACUGCCCUGCAGUGCCUGUGACCCCCAAAGAGAAGAAACCGUUGUGCCAGGCUGGUUCUGAUCCCAGUCUCCUCUUACAUCAGACUACACCCAAUAGAAAGGGGAGGUGCGUUCACUGUGGAAAAGGUGGUCAUAAUUCUCGGUGGAAACGGUUGGAAAAGGCCCUGCAAGUCCAGUGAGAGUGGAGGAGUGCAGAGGGUCUCAGCACUUCGCUGCCAUCGAAGGACCCUCGGGGAGCCCGUUAAAUGCAAGCUCCAGGCCCCGCUGCACAGAAUGCCUGGGGCCUGAGAAGGGGCAUUUCGCAAACACCGAGGGCAUUCAGAAGCAUGUCGAUUUGGACAAACUGCAGCAGCCUAAAAAUUUGGAUUUAGAUCUUGACUGUUGCCCAGCAGCUAUGUAACUUUGGACAGAUACUUAAAUGCCUUAAUUCUGAUCUGUGAAAUGGGACCAAUAAUAAUGGGUUGCAGAGAUGCCGCCCUGUGCCUACCCAACCACCAAACAUGCUGAAGCGAGAGUUUGAAACACGCAAGAGCUGCUCUGAAGAUGGGAAGAGGGGUUUUAGAAAGUAUAGGAAGUCUCGCUUCUCUGCUGCUUGUUUGUUUCACUCGAAAUAGUAAUAACAAUUAGCUUUUAUGGAGUCCUAAUGUACCAGGCAUUAUCCUAAGCACUUCCAUGUAUUUAGUGCUCAAACAAGCCUAUGAAAUAGCCAAGGAAAGAUUUAGCAACUUAUGGCCACAGCUAGAAACUUGCCAAGUCGGGAUUUGAAGUCGGGACCUCAGAGUCUGGAGUUCUCCCAUCUCCUGGGGUCCUCAGCCCUUAAAAACCUGGUAAUAAACUGAGAGAGAAAAAUUGAAGCAACCACGUGGGGGGAAAAAGGCUUUGUAACUGGCUUAGGCAAAGGUUUCUUAGAUACAACUCUGAAAACAUGAUUCACAAGAGAACAGAUUAAUAAAUCAGACUUCAUCAGAGUUAAAACUCUGCUCUUUG
Molecule: long non-coding RNA, 6385 nt
Organism: Myotis daubentonii (Daubenton's bat)
Lineage: Eukaryota; Metazoa; Chordata; Mammalia; Chiroptera; Vespertilionidae
Exons: 3
Source: RefSeq, a predicted model, not a curated record